Molecule: ribosomal RNA, 716 nt
Filed under: Metaspathius kuscheli
Lineage: Eukaryota; Metazoa; Arthropoda; Insecta; Hymenoptera; Braconidae
Description: partial 28S ribosomal RNA
Rfam family: Eukaryotic large subunit ribosomal RNA
Source: RNAcentral
AAAGUUGAAAAGAACUUUGAAGAGAGAGUUCAAGAGUACGUGAAACCGUUCAGGGGUAAACCUGAGAAACCCAAAAGAUCGAAUGGGGAGAUUCAUCGUCAGCGUGUUUGAUAUAUAUAUGAGUUAUGAUGUGGAUUAUCCUUUUACGAGGAUAUUAAUCUAUACAUACUUGUAAUUAUUUUAUUGUGAAACAUUGUCGGCGUGCACUUCUCCCCUAGUAGGACGUCGCGACCCGUUGGGUGUCGGUCUACGGCCUGAUUGGGUAGCCUUUGAUUGUAAAAAAUUAAAGACCAAUUAGUGUUUUCUGACCGACUGCUCGGCGGUACUCGUACGGUAUUGAGUCGCAUUAUAUGCGUCCACACCCGUCGCAAGCGAGGCCAGUGUUUUUAAUCCCGGUAGUUUACGGACCUAGUGCCGUCGCUGGGCCUGGCCAGCUGUUGGCUGUUGCGGUGUUCUGGGACUGACUCUUAUUAAUAAUUACCGGUCGGCGACGCUACUGCUUUGGGUACUUUCAGGACCCGUCUUGAAACACGGACCAAGGAGUCUAACAUGUGCGCGAGUCAUUGGGAUUUUUUUAUUAAAUUAAACCUAAAGGCGCAAUGAAAGUAAAGAUCGUCCUUGCGUCGAUCGAGGGAGGAUGAGUCGUGUUACGAUGCGGCUCCGCACUCCCGGGGCGUCUCAUUCUCAUUGCGAGAAGAGGCGCACCCAGAGCGUAC